RNAcentral lists this ribosomal RNA (250 nucleotides) under uncultured bacterium. RNAcentral's name for it is "partial 16S ribosomal RNA". It matches the Rfam family "Bacterial small subunit ribosomal RNA", at positions 524 to 776 of the family's 1533-position model. The record is from RNAcentral.
UACGUAGGUGGCGAGCGUUGUCCGGAUUUACUGGGCGUAAAGAGCGCGCAGGCGGUCGUUCAAGUCGCGUGUGAAAGCCCCCGGCUCAACUGGGGAGGGUCACGCGAUACUGAUCGACUCGAAGGCAGGGGAGACUGGAAUUCCUGGUGUAGCGGUGGAAUGCGCAGAUAUCAGGAGGAACACCAACGGCGAAGGCAGCUCGCUGGGACGGUACUGACGCUGAGGCGCGAAAGCGUGGGGAGCAAACAGG